UUACAAUUUGUGAAUGCGUUUUGGGGAUCCAGCGAUUCAUAGAACUUUGAUAAUUAAUAUUACAGACUGGAUUAUUUUUAAUUUGUGUUGUUUCACUUAAUUUUGUGAAAAACACUAUAAUAAGAAGAAACGUAUUAUUUGCCCACUGUGUACUCUAAAUAUGGUAGUCUGUAUAUAGUUUGUGGCUGUAUAGUUUGUGGAAGUUGCCGUAUAUUGCAACAACAUUUGAAGGAUACAUCAGCAAUUGUUCUAAAUGAACAGAGAAGGCCAGUAGUUCAAUAAAAA
Molecule: long non-coding RNA, 285 nt
Organism: Sitophilus oryzae (rice weevil)
Lineage: Eukaryota; Metazoa; Arthropoda; Insecta; Coleoptera; Curculionidae
Exons: 2
Source: RefSeq, a predicted model, not a curated record